GGACACAAGGCAUUAUGUGAACCUUUUUAAAAACAUUUGUUCUAAUUUUCUUGAUGACAAUGAUGACAUGGAAUAUCACCACAUUUUUCCUUCUAAUUUUGCAUACUACCAAAUGUAUGAAGGAUGUGAAGGGACCUACUUUGACAAUUGUACUUGAGUGUAAGCCAUCUAGAGUGAUUGAAGAAUUUUCAGAUUCUACAAGAGUGAUUGUGUUGGUGAUUCGACUUCUAAGUCUACUAGAAGAAUGGAAAGCUAGUAUCAAAUGUUGGCAAUGAGUGUAGACCUAGCUAUAAGAUGACUUCAAUGGAGUGAUUGCUCUAGUGGUCCGACUUCCAAGUCUACCAUGAAGAGUGGAAAGCUAGUAUCAAAGGUUGGCAAUGAGUGUAGACCUGGUAGUAAGAUGACAUCAAUGGCUCACAAGGAAAAUGUUAUUUGUCCUAACAAACACCGGUUGGAUUAGCUGCUAUCCUAAAGGGCUUUGUCCUAACAUGUCAAGAUGGAACAACAUAGCUCUCUAUGUCCUUGCACUAAUUUCAAGCAUAGUUUUAAGCAUGGCCAGUAUCAAUGUUUGUACAGAGUAGUAUGGCUGAGGAAUACUAAUGCUUCUGGGCUUUGGUGACAUUGAUCCCAGACAAUUUUACUAGAAUCGAUCUCUCUGACAUAUACAUUGCAAUUUUUCAUUCCUAUGCUUCAUAUGCAAAUCAAACAAGAAAGAGAUAGACCA
Zingiber officinale is the source of this 724-nucleotide long non-coding RNA. RefSeq lists it as uncharacterized. Lineage: Eukaryota; Viridiplantae; Streptophyta; Magnoliopsida; Zingiberales; Zingiberaceae. The record is from RefSeq and is a predicted model, not a curated record. The transcript is spliced from 7 exons.